AUGAGACCGUGCAGCGGGCGAAGGGACAUUUUAUACGAAAAAAUAUUUUCCCAUCAGCCCGCGUUGUGCCGCACGGGCUGAUGGGACAAUAUGUCAGCGGUAGGAUUUGGCAACUUUUGUAACUAAACUAGCAACUUUUAUUUCCCAAAAAGAACCGAGCAAUGAAUGUACCUAUUUUAACGUCGCACGGACUAAUGGGAGAUGGUCGGAGUGAGAAACAUGAAAUGCCAUCCAAGGAAUUUUGUCGGACAAUUUUCAGACUACGAGCAACAUUUUAAACGUUUAAUUAUUUUUCUUAACACACACAAAAAACUAGCAACAAAACUAUGCUAUCUGUGCUUAAAAUCGAUGCACGAUAACUACAUGCGUCAUUUAGGUCCCACCAGUGGUGAGAAUGGCUGCUUUCAACAUGAAAGAACCAAUGGAUAUAUUUAGUUAAUUUUUCAAAAUUUCCGGUCAAAAACUCGACACUUGUCUAUGUGUUUCAUCUUUUAACAAUCAUUACCUUUGACUCCAUCACCAAAAUACCCGGUGGAUUGUGAAUGUGCAAAUAGUUUGAUGAAGACUGUUUAAAUCGUUUCAUGACUAUGACAUCUUUGUCGUUGCUUCAAAAUAGACGUUGUCGGCAGGAUUCGAACCUGCGCGGGGAGACCCCAAUGGAUUUCUAGUCCAUCGCCUUAACCACUCGGCCACGACAACUGCUGUAAAGGAUAUUUUAACUCACAAGUACAGAUAUUACUAGAAGGCCUAGUUAAAUCUGAUUUCUCAAAAUUGCAUUAGUGAUCAAGUAAUUGCUUUUAAAUGGUCUGCUGGAUUCACUGCUUGUUUUAGAUCUGAGUGUGAAAUCUGCUCAAUACAGAGGCGUAUUCCAGAGCGAUACAGGCCCACCACACCCUAAAAAUGAUGAGGGAAGUGGUCUUCAUCAAACUAUUUGCCUUACUGCCUUUCGACUGCAAAAAAAAAGAAUCAUAUUUGCUUGAUGUAUUUUUUUUGCACGAGUAAUAAAUUAAAAGUGAGGAAUGUCAGUUGCCCUUGUACCCUUCGAUUUCUUCUUUCAUUAAAGGCCCGAACGGUGAUUCGAAUGCAGGGCGUCUUGAAUGUAAUGCCGCCGUGCUUGUGACUGUCAAACAACUGUUAUCAGCACACUGAAUGAAUUUGAAAUUCACGUUGUUUGAUCGGUGAAAACGCGCAAGGAUGUCAGCUUCUUCGCCUUUCUGUGGUGGUUUCCAAAUUUCACAGGCUUCAUCCAUUGAAGGUUGAAUCUUCGGCCACAUGGCGUCACUUACAGCGCGACUCAGACUCAAAAUUUUAACAUUUAUUGAACCUGUCCAAUUUUGCUACACUUUAUGCGGUCCACGGAGGCGACAUGAGGACCCUUUGAAGGUAUCGAAGGAACCAGCCUGCGAAUUCUCUCCAGUAUUUUGGAAACCACCUAUGGUCGAGUUGUGCCGGAAGUGAUGCCAUUCGACCGAAAAUGGCGCCUUUGAAGCACGCCGCUUAUGAAAUUUAGACACAAGUUCACAGUAAAGGUUAAAGUACCCCAUUGGGCAACAUCUCUUAACUUUUGAGUGUAUGUGAUAUUCCACUUUUGAGACUGUAAUUCUUAAGUACUUUAUAGUCUGUAAAUUAGGGGAAUCAGUCAAAGAAACAAGGCUACUACUUAUGUUCUUUAUCAUAUCCAAGUGGAAUUUAUUUUUGUAUCUCAUCCACCGCGUUUUGAUCCAACGUCGACGUCGCUGCAACUAAAGGGAAAACACAUUUGAGGUGAAGAAUAGAAUAUCCCUCAGUGUUCACAACUUAGGAAGAAAAAAAACCCUAAAUGAACUGCAGCAGCACUACAAAAAAACAGCAGCGUGUUCUCAUCUUUUUUUGGGGCUGUUUACAACUCC
Hippocampus zosterae (dwarf seahorse) is the source of this 1889-nucleotide long non-coding RNA. RefSeq lists it as uncharacterized. The record is from RefSeq and is a predicted model, not a curated record. The transcript is spliced from 2 exons. NCBI's taxonomy places the organism in Eukaryota, Metazoa, Chordata, Actinopteri, Syngnathiformes, Syngnathidae.